Molecule: long non-coding RNA, 620 nt
Filed under: Nicotiana tabacum (common tobacco)
Lineage: Eukaryota; Viridiplantae; Streptophyta; Magnoliopsida; Solanales; Solanaceae
Description: long non-coding RNA (NTAB_LNC006642)
Source: RNAcentral
GGGAUUCAAUGCUGGAAUUAUUUUCCUAAUCUCUCUAACAAAACGACCCCUUAGUAACAUCCAAAGAUAUAUGACCGGUCUUAAUCAAUCAAUUUCACAAAGAUAGAGAUUAGGUGACAUUAUUUUCCAGAAUAAACCCCACCCAGUCCUCCAAAAUUGUGUUAGGUAACAUCCAAAGAUAUAUAACCGGUCUUAAUCAAUCAAUUUCACAAAGAUAGAGAUUAGGUGACAUUAUUUUCCAGAAUAAACCCCACCCAGUCCUCCAAAAUUGUGUUAGGUCACAAAAACAGUUAACAAGCAGCAGAAAAAUACUAUGUAGCCGCGGGAAACAGAACCAGUCGCCGGAAAAUAAAAAAGUUGUCGGAAUGUGAUGAAACUUGGAGGGUAGAGUCGGAAUUAGUAGGCGAGCAAUCUGUCCUCGAGGAACUUCUCCAAAAAAUGAUCGGAAAAGGUCGUACUCGUCGGCGCGUGGGACCAUGCGCUCGCCGAAACCCUAGCUUCUGACAACGCGUGAGGGCGUGUGAGGCUGCUUGUACCGGAGAGGUUGAGUGGGGUUUGGCCGUCGGACGAUGAUGGAUCUUUUGGUGGUGUUGGAUUUUGCACAACACUGACGGAGAGAG